GACGAACGCUGGCGGCGUGCCUAACACAUGCAAGUCGAACGGAACUUCUUUAAAGGAUUUCUUCGGAAUGAAUUUGAUUAAGUUUAGUGGCGGACGGGUGAGUAACGCGUGAGUAACCUGCCUCUGAGAGGGGAAUAACAUUCUGAAAAGAAUGCUAAUACCGCAUAAUAUAUAUUUAUCGCAUGGUAGAUAUAUCAAAGAUUUAUCGCUUAGAGAUGGACUCGCGUCCGAUUAGUUAGUUGGUGAGGUAACGGCUCACCAAGACCGCGAUCGGUAGCCGGACUGAGAGGUUGAACGGCCACAUUGGGACUGAGACACGGCCCAGACUCCUACGGGAGCAGCAGUGGGAAUAUUGCACAAUGGGGGAAACCUGAUGCAGCGACGCCGCGUGGAGAAGAAGGUCUUCGGAUUGUAAACUCCUGUUG
This 425-nucleotide ribosomal RNA is filed under the name uncultured bacterium. RNAcentral describes it as "bacterial SSU rRNA". It matches the Rfam family "Bacterial small subunit ribosomal RNA", at positions 28 to 438 of the family's 1533-position model. The record is from RNAcentral.